RNAcentral lists this unclassified non-coding RNA (345 nucleotides) under soil metagenome. RNAcentral's name for it is "partial contains 5.8S ribosomal RNA, internal transcribed spacer 2, and large subunit ribosomal RNA". The stretch from base 1 to 120 matches the Rfam family "5.8S ribosomal RNA", at positions 35 to 154 of the family's 154-position model. The record is from RNAcentral.
GAUGAAGAACGUAGUGAAAUGCGAUACGUAAUGUGAAUUGCAGAAUUCAGUGAAUCAUCGAGUCUUUGAACGCACAUUGCGCCUUCUGGUAUUCCGGAGGGCAUGCCUGUCCGAGCGUCAUUGCUGCCCUCAAGCACGGCUUGUGUGUUGGGCUCCGUCCCCCGAUCCCGGGGGACGGGCCCGAAAGGCAGCGGCGGCACCGCGUCCGGUCCUCGAGCGUAUGGGGCUUUGUCACCCGCUCUGUAGGCCCGGCCGGCGCUUGCCGAUCAACCAAAUUUUUAUCCAGGUUGACCUCGGAUCAGGUAGGGAUACCCGCUGAACUUAAGCAUAUCAAUAAGCGGAGGA